This is a microRNA precursor of Gorilla gorilla gorilla (western lowland gorilla), 94 nucleotides long. The record is from Ensembl. NCBI's taxonomy places the organism in Eukaryota, Metazoa, Chordata, Mammalia, Primates, Hominidae.
CAUGCUGUGUGUGGUACCCUACUGCAGACAGUGGGAAUCAUGUAUAAUUAAAAACGAUUGGUACGUCUGUGGGUAGAGUACUGCAUGACACAUG